GGGGAAUAUUGGACAAUGGGCGAAAGCCUGAUCCAGCCAUGCCGCGUGUGUGAAGAAGGUCUUCGGAUUGUAAAGCACUUUAAGUUGGGAGGAAGGGGUUGAAGCUAAUACCUUCAAUCUUUGACGUUACCAACAGAAUAAGCACCGGCUAACUCUGUGCCAGCAGCCGCGGUAAUACAGAGGGUGCAAGCGUUAAUCGGAAUUACUGGGCGUAAAGCGCGCGUAGGUGGUUCAGUAAGAUGGAAGUGAAAUCCCCGGGCUUAACCUGGGAACUGCUUUCAUAACUGCUGAGCUAGAGUACGGUAGAGGGUAGUGGAAUUUCCUGUGUAGCGGUGAAAUGCGUAGAUAUAGGAAGGAACACCAGUGGCGAAGGCGACUACCUGGACUGAUACUGACACUGAGGUGCGAAAGCGUGGGGAGCAAAC
This 425-nucleotide ribosomal RNA is filed under the name uncultured bacterium. Its description in RNAcentral is "bacterial SSU rRNA". It matches the Rfam family "Bacterial small subunit ribosomal RNA", at positions 356 to 773 of the family's 1533-position model. The record is from RNAcentral.